AACGCUGGCGGUAUGCUUAACACAUGCAAGUCGAACGGAAACGAAACUAGCUUGCUAGUUGGCGUCGAGUGGCGGACGGGUGAGUAACGCGUAGGAAUCUACCUAGUAGUGGGGGAUAGCCCGAAGAAAUUCGGAUUAAUACCGCAUAAUCUAUUCGUAGUAAAGUGGGGGACUUUCGAGCCUCACGCUAUUGGAUGAGCCUGCGUAAGAUUAGCUUGUUGGUGGGGUAAAGGCCUACCAAGGCAACGAUCUUUAGCUGGUCUGAGAGGACGAUCAGCCACAUUGGGACUGAGACACGGCCCAGACUUCUACGGAAGGCAGCAGUUAGGAAUAUUGGACAAUGGGGGCAACCCUGAUCCAGCUAUACCGCGUGUGUGAAGAAGGCCCUAGGGUUGUAAAGCACUUUAAGCAGGGAAGAAGCAUAUUAAGUUAAUAUCUUAAUAUGUUGACGUUACCUGAAGAAUAAGGACCGG
This 473-nucleotide ribosomal RNA is filed under the name uncultured bacterium. RNAcentral's name for it is "bacterial SSU rRNA". It matches the Rfam family "Bacterial small subunit ribosomal RNA", at positions 32 to 496 of the family's 1533-position model. The record is from RNAcentral.